CCUACGGGUGGCAGCAGUGGGGAAUAUUGCACAAUGGGGGAAACCCUGAUGCAGCAACGCCGCGUGAGUGAAGAAGGAUUUCGGUAUGUAAAGCUCUGUCAGCAGGGAAGAAGAAAGACGGUACCUGACUAAGAAGCACCGGCGAACUAUGUGACAGCAGCAGCGGUAAUACGUAGGGGGCAAGCGUUAUACGGAUUUACUGGGGGUAAAGCGAGCGUAGACGGUUGGUCAAGUCUGAAGUGAAAGCACGUGGCUCAACCGCGGAACUGCUUUUGAAACUGUAUAGCGUGCGUACUGGAGAGGCAGGCGGAAUUCCUAGUGUAGCGGUGAAAUGCGUAGAUAUUAGGAGGAACACCAGUGGCGAAGGCGGCCUGCUGGACAGAAACUGACGUUGAGGCUCGAAAGCGUGGGUAGCAAACAGGAUUAGAUACCCGAGUAGUC
This 441-nucleotide ribosomal RNA is filed under the name uncultured bacterium. RNAcentral describes it as "partial 16S ribosomal RNA". It matches the Rfam family "Bacterial small subunit ribosomal RNA", at positions 338 to 795 of the family's 1533-position model. The record is from RNAcentral.